Long non-coding RNA from Myodes glareolus (Bank vole), 1495 nucleotides. RefSeq lists it as uncharacterized. NCBI's taxonomy places the organism in Eukaryota, Metazoa, Chordata, Mammalia, Rodentia, Cricetidae. The record is from RefSeq and is a predicted model, not a curated record.
GAGGACUUAACGACAGAAGUUUCAGGCGAGCUGAGAAACUCCCUACAAGGGAGUUCACGGGUUGAUAACACCUACAAGCAGUUAGGGGCUGGGACAUUUCUGAGGUGGUCAACGCCAACCCCGUUGUAUUGACAACUUUGAGACUUCAGGGGAAGAGAUGUGAAGAUGGAAGCGUCCACCUCAAAAGUUCCUCUUUUUGCCCUGUAAGCCCCCUGAGCUUCUGCGCAGUCUCCACUUCCCCCAAGACUGCCGGUCCUCAUUGUUCUACCAAAAGGACGCUGCUUCUGUUGAGCGAGAAGAUAAGGACCAAAGCAUUCCAAGAAAAGACCAAAGGAAUACAUUGUGUCAAGAAAAGACCAAAGGAAUACAUUGUGUCAAGAAAAGACCAAUGGAAUACAUUGUGUCAAGAAGAGAUGAUUAGGAAGACUUCAAGGCUAGAGUGGAGUGGAAGAGGCAGGCAAUGGUGGAGGAUGAGAAGAGAGUGUGAGCAGGAGCCAGAUCAAGCAGGACCUUGUGGUCAGUGUGGAUGACUUUGGGUUGUAUUGUGACUGCAAUGGACAGCUAGGAGAAGGGAGAUAGCAGCCAGGUGCUGGAUUGAUUGUGCUAGAAAACAUCAUACAGACCAGUGAGUUCUUGGAAAACAGUUGAAUGGGAGGCAGAGGUGAGAGAUAGAAGAGAGGGAGGGAGGAAGGAGGGAGAGAGAAUGUGGAUAGAUUUAAAUUAAUUUUCUUCUUACUGGUUUCUGGCAGCAGUUCAGAUGAAAUGAUUAAAAACGAUGGUAGCUAAACCCAAUGUACAGAUUUAACCCUAUAACCCCAGUACUUGGGAGGUUAAGGGAGUAGGGUUGUAGGUUCAAGAGUAGUCUGGAGUACAUAAGACUUUAUCUCAGAAAGAAAUACAAAUAUCAACAUUAAAAUAAUAGUAGUUUAUUUGAAUAGUAUCCUAACGGCAGGAAUUAUGAUUUGCUGAUGGGCUCAGGGCAGAGGUUGGGGAAUGCCAGAGGGGUUAGAAACUGUGAUGGAGUCACUAUCGACUCUGGGACUAGGCCAGAGGUCAGGCUACAUAGAAAGGUCAGUAGGAAGCACUUAAGUAAGCCAAGACAAAGCUUUGUCUUCAAAUACUAAGAAUAACAAAAAUAUGUUAAACAAGACUUGAAGCUGCAGAUUGGAGGAUUGUGUUCUAGAGAGAAAUCACCCUGGCUAUCACAAGGAAACUGCUAACAUGAAGAGAAGAAUGGAUACGGGAAGAUUUCCAAGAAAGUUGGGAAAGAAAUGAUAAUGGCUUUGUUUGUUUGGUAGCCAUGGAGACACAAAGAAAUGGGUGCAUCAGGAAGCUAUUUACAGACUCUGCUGGCCGGAGUCCGUGGUAGCUGGACAUGAGCAGAGUGAGGGGGAAGGAUGAGGUAUGAUCCUGGAAAGAUGCUCCUAGUACGAUGGCUGAUAGAUGCCAGAGGAUGAGAACCUGUGGAAUUCUUCCAGACUAAUGUGGUUUGAUG